AAAUUAUGCAUUGGACACUUUCUAAGUAACUCCUUAAAAUGCUCCCAAGCUUCAUAUAAACUUUUUUCUUCCAGAUACUUAAAGGAUGUAAGGUCAUUCCUCAGCUU
Molecule: small nucleolar RNA, 107 nt
Organism: Hibiscus syriacus
Lineage: Eukaryota; Viridiplantae; Streptophyta; Magnoliopsida; Malvales; Malvaceae
Source: RefSeq, a predicted model, not a curated record